RNAcentral lists this ribosomal RNA (1737 nucleotides) under Lygocorides rubronasutus. Its description in RNAcentral is "SSU rRNA". It matches the Rfam family "Eukaryotic small subunit ribosomal RNA". Lineage: Eukaryota; Metazoa; Arthropoda; Insecta; Hemiptera; Miridae. The record is from RNAcentral.
AGUGAAACCGCAAAAGGCUCAGUAAACCAGUCAUGAUUCACUCGAGUAUACAUGACUGUCUUUGGAUAACUGUGGUAAUCCUAGAGCUAAUACAUGCAAUCAAGUCCCGACCAGUCUGACUGGGAAGGACGCUUUUAUUAGAUCAAGACCAAUCGCCCGGCUCGUUCGGGCGUUGCCUUGGUGACUCUAGGUAACACAUCAGAUCGCACGGUCCUCGCACCGGCGACUUAUCCUUCAAAUGCCUGACUUAUCAACUGUCGAUGGUAGACUCUAUGUCUACCAUGGUUGUAACGGGUAACGGGGAAUCAGGGUUCGAUUCCGGAGAGGGAGCCUGAGAAACGGCUACCACAUCCAAGGAAGGCAGCAGGCACGCAAAUUACCCACUCCCGGCACGGGGAGGUAGUGACAAAAAAUAACGAUACGGGACUCUUAUGAGGCCCCGUAAUCGGAAUGAGUACACUUUAAAUCCUUUAACAAGGAUCCAUUGAAGGGCAAGUCUGGUGCCAGCAGCCGCGGUAAUUCCAGCUUCAAUAGCGUAUAUUAAAGUUGUUGCGGUUAAAAAGCUCGUAGUUGGUUCUGCGUGCCACGCUGUCGGUUCGCCGCCUGCCGGUGUAACUGGCAUGCCGUGGCAUGUCCUGUCGGUGGCGUUCGGGAGCCUCGUCUAGGCGACGGCCCUUGCCUAAAGCUUGGUGUCCGGAGGCCGGGGGUAUACCCGUUCGCCUACUCUAUCCUACCUAGGUGCUCUUUACCGAGUGUCGAGGUAGGCCGACACGUUUACUUUGAACAAAUUAGAGUGCUCAAAGCAGGCUGAAAUCUCUGCCUGAAUAGUGGUGCAUGGAAUAAUAAAACAGGACCUUGGUUCUAUUUUGUUGGUUCUUAGGAACACAAGGUAAUGAUCAAUACGGACAGGCGGGGGCAUUCGUAUUGCGACGUUAGAGGUGAAAUUCUUGGAUCGUCGCAAGACGCACAAGAGCGAAAGCAUUUGCCAUGUUCCUCCGAUGACUCGGCGGGGAGCUUCUUCCCGGGAAACCAAAGCUUUUGGGUUCCGGGGGAAGUAUGGUUGCAAAGCUGAAACUUAAAGGAAUUGACGGAAGGGCACCACCAGGAGUGGAGCCUGCGGCUUAAUUUGACUCAACACGGGAAACCUCACCAGGCCAGGACAUUGGAAGGAUUGACAGAUUGAUAGCUCUUUCUUGAUUCAGUGGGUAGUGGUGCAUGGCCGUUCUUAGUUGGUGGAUCGAUUUGUCUGGUUAAUUCCGAUAACGAACGAGACUCUAGCCUAUUAACUAGGCGUUUACCGGUGUCCUCGCCACCGGCGACAAUCAUUCUUCUUAAGGGGACAGGCGGCUUAUAGCCGCACGAGAUUGAGCAAUAACAGGUCUGUGAUGCCCUUAGAUGUCCUGGGCCGCACGCGCGCUACACUGAAGGAAUCAGCGUGUGCCUCCCUGGCCGAAAGGCCCGGGUAAUCCGCUGAACCUCCUGCGUGCUAGGAAUUGGGGCUUGCAAUUGUUCCCCAUGAACGAGGAAUUCCCAGUAAGCGCGAGUCAUAAGCUCGCGUUGAUUACGUCCCUGCCCUUUGUACACACCGCCCGUCGCUACUACCGAUUGAAUGAUUUAGUGAGGUCUUCGGACUGGCGGUAAUCCCUACCGACUCGUCGGUAUCGAUGAACGCUGGAAAGAUGACCAAACUUGAUCAUUUAGAGGAAGUAAAAGUCGUAACAAGGUUUCCGUAGGUGA